UAGGGAAUCUUCGGCAAUGGGGGCAACCCUGACCGAGCAACGCCGCGUGAGUGAAGAAGGUUUUCGGAUCGUAAAGCUCUGUUGUAAGAGAAGAACGUGUGUGAGAGUGGAAAGUUCACACAGUGACGGUAACUUACCAGAAAGGGACGGCUAACUACGUGCCAGCAGCCGCGGUAAUACGUAGGUCCCGAGCGUUGUCCGGAUUUAUUGGGCGUAAAGCGAGCGCAGGCGGUUUAAUAAGUCUGAAGUUAAAGGCAGUGGCUUAACCAUUGUUCGCUUUGGAAACUGUUAAACUUGAGUGCAGAAGGGGGGAGUGGAAUUCCAUGUGUAGCGGUGAAAUGCGUAGAUAUAUGGAGGAACGCCGGUGGCGAAAGCGGCUCUCUGGUCUGUAACUGACGCUGAGGCUCGAAAGCGUGGGGAGCAAACAGG
This 429-nucleotide ribosomal RNA is filed under the name bacterium. Its description in RNAcentral is "partial 16S ribosomal RNA". It matches the Rfam family "Bacterial small subunit ribosomal RNA", at positions 355 to 776 of the family's 1533-position model. The record is from RNAcentral.